UAAAACCAUCAGUUUCCAUCCUAACAAAAGUCAAUUGUUGAUAUAUUUUUAUGCCCAUUUACCUGAUUUAAAACGGCUUAAAAUAUUCUUGACCAACCAGUGUUUGUUAAAUGGAAUAAUAUUUUUAAAAUUUUGGAAUUGCUACUCUCAUCUGAACAUCUAUCAACACCAAAAACCAGAGAUCGCAAAGAUUGGGCAAUAUACGUUAAUACCCAUAAUUUUCAAGUAUAUCUAUUUUUUGCAGAGAAAACUGGCAAAAGAGAAGAAGGGGUAAUUAGGGAUCUUCCACGUGCAUCCCGAUUUUAGACGCCAGUUUCGCUUAAGCGUCGGGAGCGUCAACGCGUCGAAAUCCGCUUUAUCUCUCCGACCGACGACAUUCGACGAACGACCAUUUUUUUUGCUUCUAUUUGUAAAAGUGUGCCUGUCUAAUUUCAUUGGUUUUACUCGCCUUGUAUAUUAGUGUCAUUUUUCUCGUGUCUUAGACAAUGUUAGUCGCAUAGUUAAAUAUUUUAUAAAUAAACGUGUAAAUUCAAAUAAACUGUAAUAAUCAACGAGAAAGUGUUAAAUAAAAAUCUGUAAAAUGGUGAACUAUGUACUUUCUUUCUGCAAAAUUACCGGAGCCAGCAAGAUAUUUACGAGGAAUUUUUAUCUGCCGCUUUUGAAGCCGCUGACUCCCAAAGAUGCCUUACGCACACUCAGGAUUACAGGUAAAUGGCUACUUGGAGCUAAAUAUCAGCACUAUAUUCCGGCGCUUAAAAAUCACAGAAAUAAGCGCUCAAAGAAAUCAAAGAACUAUGGCAGCAAAGAACAUAAGAAAAUGGAUGACUAUACAUACAUGACCCCAACUUUUGAUCCGGAAAACGAAAAUCAAAAAAGGCUGCAAAAAAUUUUGGACAGCAAGCAAGGGGAAGGUAUGUACGUAUAUACCGUGGAAGACAAAAAAUACAAUAUAGUCGUCCAAGCAGCUUUUGAAUUGGCCGUCCGCGAUGGCGACAUUAUCGAUGUGUUGGUGUCUCAGAAAAAUGAUAAAAUUCUCGUAAAAACCAAGGAUUUCAAAAAAGUGCCAAUUGAAAUUCAAUAUUACGAGCAAAAUGGCGAGACUCUUUAUUGCGGCGAAGGUGCAACUUCAGAAGCAGAGGAAAAGUUUCACCAUCACGGGAAAUACACCAUGAGCUUAGCCAAAUUAUUCGAAGAUAAGGAAAUGCAAGAAGAGAAGUGGGAAGAAGAGCUGAAAAAGAUCAUGAAGAGACGCAAGAAACACAAAUGGGAAGGCACCAAAGCUUUCAAAGAAAUGAUGAAGCAAAUAAUGCGCAAGUUUGACUGGAAGAAGUUUGAAGAAGACGCCAAAAAAGUUAUUGAUGAUAUAGAAGAACCGGUUACAGAAAAUCCGAUUCCGAUGGAAAUUGCUAACUUAGAAGCCACGAAGAACGUCAACGAGACGCUUGCCCAACGAGAAGACUUGCUCAGUCAGCUCCCAACGCUUAAAGAUAUACCCGAUAUUAUUAAAAGUCUUGGAACGGCGACAUUGACCGAAAUCGAAACUGAAGAAAACGAAUCGACUGAAAAGAGAACUGUUUCAGGCGCUAUGGUGGUAUUGCCUUCAGGAAAGCAGUGCUUUGUAAGCGGCCAAAUGGUUCAUACUGAAGAAGGGGAUGUUUUUGUGCCUGGACAAACCGUGCAAAAUGAAUUCGGCGACGAAUACGCCCCUGGAAUCACCAUUAAUAUCGACAAUAAACCCACUCUGGUCAACGGAUUAAUAAUGGGCGACGAGGAAAAAGAUCCUCUAUUUUUACCAUCCCAAUCAACGAUAACAUCAGGUGGCCAGUUAACAUUUGCCACUGACUCGGAGGAACGCCCACCCCCAGAACCCGAAGAGCAACGGCAAAAAAGGCGAAGAAAGCUUUUAAGAAUCAUUAGUGUGGUACCGGAAGAAGAGAAUAAUGAAGAUGAAUGUUUGAAAGGAGUCAUCGAAGACAUCAUGAAAGAAAGUGGGCUGCACAAUUUUGAAAACAUCGAAAUAAUCGUGGCAAAUGCUGAUAAUCAAAAUCCUUUACUGGAUGGUGAAGAUUCCGAUAUUUCCACUGACGAAACAUCUACAUCCGAUGAACUCAACAACUCAGAGCUGGAGGACUUGGAUAUAGAAGCCAUUCGAUUAAAGCACGAACAGCAACGCCAAGAACUGGAGAAACUGAAGUUAAUUUUGCAAGACGAUGGAAUGAAUGACCUAGUAAACUCUUUAGAGGAGAAAAAGCGGCUGCUGAAACUCAAGCUAGACGAGCUUAGAAAGCUCAGCAUGAUGUCCGAAAAUAAUCUGGUAUCGUACGUUAACGAUAGCGAUGCAUGCGAAGCGGCAGCGAAAAUAACAGAUGAAAAAGAAAGUAUUAAUAGACUAGCAGAAAUUCUUAUAGCCAUUACUAGGAGGUCAGCGGCAUUUAGAGACAAAAAUAGCAUAAGACUCGAGAAUAUUAAUUUGGAUGUUAACAUUAAACCGACAGACACUGAUUUGAAAUUCAACAAAUCCUCUACGAAGCUUAAAAUUCUGUUUAAAACGGCCCUAGUGGCGGCAUGUGAUGUAUACAAAAACAGACCCAGAGAUCAGAUUUUAGCUUUGCACUCAGUAGUGGAAAUAAUCGAGGACAGUCUUAAAAAAGACCCCACUUUGCUUACAGAACUUUUUAAGUUAUUAGACACCUCAUUUGAUCGGUUGGAGGUAUGCGAUGCCGUUCUCAAGCAACUAAUUCAAGACAUUUCGCACACUAAAGUGGCAUGUUUGAAAAACCUGAGCACUGAAGACUUAACUUUGCAGGACUGUCUGAAGUAUCUGGAUCGGAUUAUUGAGGAUGGUACAGUAAUGAAUGUUUCAUUCACUAAGCUGGCCAAGCUCUGCCCGGAAAUAGUUAAAGAUUUAAGCGAAAACGUGAAAUUAAGAAUGAAGAAUGCAACCUCGGAAGAAAUAGCACUAGAGGCGCUUCAAGACAGCAUUGUGAUCACGGUUAGAGCUUUAAUGAGCAGUAACUUCGAAGAGUUGUUAGGAAGAAAAGAAAGCACGGUGCUCGAGUUCAUCGAGGAAGCAUUGAGCUUUGCUAAAGCCUUGGAGCAGGAUGAUGUUGUGGAGAAUCUUUCAAAGCCGAAAACUACGUUGAACAAUUUGGAGGAUUCUUCCAUUGAAAUGCUCAAAAGAAUGACCAUAAUCCGACAACUAGCUGAAAAAGACUACUCUUUGAAAACAGCAAUCAGCAGAAUCAAGAAGAAUCCUGAGUGUGCAAAGUCAGAUCCCCGAAUCAGGCAAUUAAUCCGGGAGAGUGCCAUUGUAAUAUCCGAGAUGUCUCCUUUGCGGAACUCCAGAGACAUACCAUACGACUUGAUGAAAAGACAAAAUCUACUGGCAAUUGAAGACUUUCUAAUGCGCAAAAUGAGGCUGGACGUACCAGUGCUCAUCACAAGAGGCAACCUUCAAGCGGUAGUUCCCAAAGAAUCAGCGCGAGGAGUAUUAGCCGGAAGAGUGCCUUAUAUCCUCAUUGACGAAUCGGGAGUGACAAACUUUAAACCAAUGCACAUGCUUUCGUCGAUAAAUGUCAACAAAAAUCGGGAAAGGAGGAUCGAGGACUAUUUGAGUGGGGUGCGCGAAAGAUCAAAAUCAAUCGACCUUAACAAGGAUGAAGCGAGACACUAUUUGCAGGCCAAAUCGAACGAAGAAGUAAAUAAAAUUGUGAAGUGAAAAACUUAGAAAGGUUAGAGGGUGACGAAAAAUAUUCAACAACAUUCUAUGGAUAAUGUAAAUCUGUGAAUCCUGGCGUCUGAAGUUUCAGCUACAGCCCUGACGUCCCAAGUCACAUUUUCUUUAGUUCAAAUAGUUCAGUUAUUUUAAAUCGGUUGCAUCGAGUGUUUGAUCAUUUGAAUUUGAGAGCAGUUAUGCAUGAAUCUUUAAUACCUGUGGGUCCGCCGAAAAAACGUAAAUCUCCGAGACCUCGACGCAAUCUGCAAAGUGAAGCAGGCCCAAGCACUUCGGGGACAAAUAAUGGAUUAGAAAAUCAUAGUGAAAAUAAUCCUGAUACAGCGGUAGAAAAUAAGCGAAUUCCUAUGUUGAUCAGAGGUGUUGGAGUUCAUCAAGUGAUUCCAAAAGAAGCAACUCGUGAUGUUCUAACAGGCAAAGUGCCAUUUUACUUGGUGGAUGAUAGAGACGGAGUCACCCUUUUUCCAGCCAAGCAUAAUCUUGUGGCUCUCAAAUUAGACCAAGAGCAUGUUGAGAAAUUUGAGGAUUAUUCUUGCAUCGGCGGCCACGAAAGACAACUGAAGGAAAGACCGAAAAGACGAGAAGGAAUGGGAUAUAGAAGGCGGUACAUUUCUCCAGAGCUACUUAACAGAGGCAUCUAUAAUGUUGACAUAGAUAUAAGAAUACGGGCUCUAAUGCUGAGCAUAAACCUUUAAGCAUACAAACCUUAACGGAAGUACAACCAAUGAAUUGCUGGAAACUAUGAGCAUCCUCUACUAAACUCAUUAACUGUUAUCUAUUAACGAAUUAAUCAAAUUUUCAAAUAUAUUUUUGCAAUAAAAACCUAGUGGUAAAGUGUAUGAA
RNA transcript from Dendroctonus ponderosae (mountain pine beetle), 4576 nucleotides. RefSeq lists it as uncharacterized. NCBI's taxonomy places the organism in Eukaryota, Metazoa, Arthropoda, Insecta, Coleoptera, Curculionidae. The record is from RefSeq and is a predicted model, not a curated record. The transcript has 6 exons.